GCAUAAUCAUUUGCCAUUUAAUUGGUGGCUAGAAUAAAUGAAUACACGAAAGUUAAGCUGUCUCACUUUUACACAUAAAAAUUGAUCCCCUGGUGAAGAAACCAGGAUUCUACAAGAAGACGAAAAGACCCUAUAGAGCUUUACCCUAUAUAUAAUAUUCAUAAAAAGGGUUUAGUUGGGGCAACUAGAGAGAAUCUAAAUCCUCUCUUUUAAGAAAUUAUAAAGAUCCGUUAAUCGAUCAGAAGAAAAAGCUACCUUAGGGAUAACAGGCCAAUCCUUUUUGAGAGACCAUAUUGACAAAAGGGA
RNAcentral lists this ribosomal RNA (306 nucleotides) under Pygospio sp. VVP-2014. RNAcentral's name for it is "partial 16S ribosomal RNA". It matches the Rfam family "Bacterial large subunit ribosomal RNA", at positions 1959 to 2517 of the family's 2925-position model. Lineage: Eukaryota; Metazoa; Annelida; Polychaeta; Spionida; Spionidae. The record is from RNAcentral.